UGAAUACGAGACGCUACGGCGUCGAAGCAGUCUAUGUCAUACUUCCAAGAAAAGCUUGCACUGUCAUAGACAAAUAAUGCCUGUACCAUAACCGACACAGGUGGGUAGGUAGAGUAUACUAAGGGGCGCGAGAUAACUCUCUCUAAGGAACUCGGCAAAAUGACUCCGUAACUUCGGGAGAAGGAGUGCCUUAUUUAUAAGGUUGCAAUAACAAGAUCCAAGCAACUGUUUAUCAAAAACACAGGUCUCCGCUAAGUCGUAAGACGAUGUAUGGGGGCUGACGCCUGCCCAGUGCCAGAAGGUUAAAGAAGUUGGUUAGCAUUAGCGAAGCUGAUAACUGAAGCCCUGGUGAACGGCGGCCGUAACUAUAACGGUCCUAAGGUAGCGAAAUUCCUUGUCGGGUAAGUUCCGACCCGCACGAAAGGCGUAAUGAUUUGGAUACUGUCUCGGAGAGGGGCUCGGUGAAAUAGACUUGUCUGUGAAGAUGCGGACUACCUGCACCUGGACAGAAAGACCCUAUGAAGCUUUACUGUAACCUGAAAUUGAAAUUGGACUUUAUUUGCGCAGUAUAGGUGGGAGGCGUUGAGAAUAUUCUUGCGGGAAUAUUGGAGCCAUCAGUGAGAUACCACUCUUGUAAUGUUAGAUUUCUAACUUUGAAUCAUUAUCUGGUCAAAGAACAGUUUCAGGCGGGCAGUUUGACUGGGGCGGUCGCCUCCUAAAUGGUAACGGAGGCGCACAAAGGUUUCCUCUGAACGGGUAGAAAUCGUAUCUAGAGUGUAAAGGCAUAAGGAAGCUUGACUGUGAGACCUACAAGUCGAGCAGGGACGAAAGUCGGUCUUAGUGAUCUGACGGUGCUGAGUGGAAAGGCCGUCACUCAACGGAUAAAAGUUACUCUAGGAUAACAGGCUGAUCUCCCCCAAGAGUUCACAUCGACGGGGAGGUUUGGCACCUCGAUGUCGGCUCAUCGCAUCCUGGGGCGGUAGUACGUCCCAAGGGUUGGGCUGUUCGCCCAUGAAAGCGGUACGCGAGCUGGGUUCAGAACGUCGUGAGACAGUUCGGUCCAUAUCCGGUGUAGGCGUUAGAAUAUUGAGAGGAGCCUUCUUUAGUACGAGAGGACCGAGAAGGACAUACCUCUGGUGUACCAGUUAUCGUGCCAACGGUAAACGCUGGGUAGCCAUGUAUGGAGAGGAUAACCGCUGAAAGCAUCUAAGUGGGAAGCCCACCUCGAGAUAAGUAUUCCC
RNAcentral lists this ribosomal RNA (1241 nucleotides) under metagenome. Its description in RNAcentral is "bacterial LSU rRNA". It matches the Rfam family "Bacterial large subunit ribosomal RNA", at positions 1564 to 2815 of the family's 2925-position model. The record is from RNAcentral.